MicroRNA precursor from Medicago truncatula (barrel medic), 268 nucleotides. It matches the Rfam family "MIR2655 microRNA precursor family". The record is from Rfam. Lineage: Eukaryota; Viridiplantae; Streptophyta; Magnoliopsida; Fabales; Fabaceae.
CCCAUAUGUAAUAAAAGGUCCGUUUAGGUCAUUUAAUUUUAUUUAAAGUAUCGGUUUGGUCCCUUUUGUUAAUUUAAUUAAAAAAAAAACGUUAAGUUUAGGUACCAAACUAAUACUAAUUAAAUAAGUUAAAUGACCAAACUAGUACAAUUAAAUAAGUUAAGGGACCAAAAUUUAACGUUUUUUUUAAUUAAAUUAACAAAAUGGACCAUACCAAUACUUUAAAUAAAGUUAAGGGAUCUAAACAGAUCUUUUAUUACUUAUGAGA